GGGGAACAUCCAGAAGUUGAGAUGUUGCCCGAUACAUUCUUCCUAGAGAAUUACAGCUUCCCUAUUUUCCUACUUGUGGUACUUGAAGAAAAACCAUAGGUCUCAUACUGGGAGAUACAUGA
Impatiens glandulifera is the source of this 122-nucleotide small nucleolar RNA. RefSeq annotates it as small nucleolar RNA snoR104. The record is from RefSeq and is a predicted model, not a curated record. The transcript has a single exon. NCBI's taxonomy places the organism in Eukaryota, Viridiplantae, Streptophyta, Magnoliopsida, Ericales, Balsaminaceae.